AAAAAAAAACUAUACUUUCAGGGAUCAUUUCUAUAGUUUGUGACUAGAGAAGUUUCUCUGAACGUGUAGAGCACCGAAAACCACGAGGAAGAGACGUAGUGUUCUCUCCUGAGCGUGAAGCAGGCGUUAUGGUGUUGCUUCUGUGCAAUUGCCAUCAGCCAUUGAUGAUCGUUCUUCUCUCCGCUUUGGAGAGUAAGAGGGAGAGAACGCUGUCUGAGUGG
Molecule: small nucleolar RNA, 221 nt
Filed under: Macaca mulatta (Rhesus monkey)
Lineage: Eukaryota; Metazoa; Chordata; Mammalia; Primates; Cercopithecidae
Description: C/D box U3f snoRNA
Rfam family: Small nucleolar RNA U3
About the family: Small nucleolar RNAs (snoRNAs) are involved in the processing and modification of rRNA in the nucleolus. There are two main classes of snoRNAs: the box C/D class, and the box H/ACA class.
Source: RNAcentral